Molecule: ribosomal RNA, 253 nt
Filed under: uncultured bacterium
Lineage: Bacteria
Description: partial 16S ribosomal RNA
Rfam family: Bacterial small subunit ribosomal RNA
Source: RNAcentral
UACGAAGGGGGCUAGCGUUGUUCGGAAUCACUGGGCGUAAAGCGCACGUAGGCGGAUCUUUAAGUCAGGGGUGAAAUCCUGGAGCUCAACUCCAGAACUGCCUUUGAUACUGGGGAUCUCGAGUCCGGGAGAGGUGAGUGGAACUCCGAGUGUAGAGGUGAAAUUCGUAGAUAUUCGGAAGAACACCAGUGGCGAAGGCGGCUCACUGGCCCGGUACUGACGCUGAGGUGCGAAAGCGUGGGGAGCAAACAGG